RNAcentral lists this ribosomal RNA (2930 nucleotides) under Bacillus velezensis. RNAcentral describes it as "23S ribosomal RNA". It matches the Rfam family "Bacterial large subunit ribosomal RNA". The record is from RNAcentral. Lineage: Bacteria; Bacillati; Bacillota; Bacilli; Caryophanales; Bacillaceae.
GGUUAAGUUAGAAAGGGCGCACGGUGGAUGCCUUGGCACUAGGAGCCGAUGAAGGACGGGACGAACACCGAUAUGCUUCGGGGAGCUGUAAGCAAGCUUUGAUCCGGAGAUUUCCGAAUGGGGAAACCCACCACUCGUAAUGGAGUGGUAUCCAUAUCUGAAUACAUAGGAUAUGAGAAGGCAGACCCGGGGAACUGAAACAUCUAAGUACCCGGAGGAAGAGAAAGCAAAUGCGAUUCCCUGAGUAGCGGCGAGCGAAACGGGACCAGCCCAAACCAAGAGGCUUGCCUCUUGGGGUUGUAGGACACUCUGUACGGAGUUACAAAGGAACGAGGUAGAUGAAGAGGUCUGGAAAGGCCCGCCAUAGGAGGUAACAGCCCUGUAGUCAAAACUUCGUUCUCUCCUGAGUGGAUCCUGAGUACGGCGGAACACGUGAAAUUCCGUCGGAAUCCGGGAGGACCAUCUCCCAAGGCUAAAUACUCCCUAGUGACCGAUAGUGAACCAGUACCGUGAGGGAAAGGUGAAAAGCACCCCGGAAGGGGAGUGAAAGAGAUCCUGAAACCGUGUGCCUACAAGUAGUCAGAGCCCGUUAACGGGUGAUGGCGUGCCUUUUGUAGAAUGAACCGGCGAGUUACGAUCCCGUGCAAGGUUAAGCAGAAGAUGCGGAGCCGCGGCGAAAGCGAGUCUGAAUAGGGCGAAUUGAGUACGUGGUCGUAGACCCGAAACCAGGUGAUCUACCCAUGUCCAGGGUGAAGUUCAGGUAACACUGAAUGGAGGCCCGAACCCACGCACGUUGAAAAGUGCGGGGAUGAGGUGUGGGUAGGGGUGAAAUGCCAAUCGAACCUGGAGAUAGCUGGUUCUCUCCGAAAUAGCUUUAGGGCUAGCCUCAAGGUAAGAGUCUCGGAGGUAGAGCACUGAUUGGACUAGGGGCCCCUACCGGGUUACCGAAUUCAGUCAAACUCCGAAUGCCGAUGACUUAUCCUUGGGAGUCAGACUGCGAGUGAUAAGAUCCGUAGUCGAAAGGGAAACAGCCCAGACCGCCAGCUAAGGUCCCAAAGUAUACGUUAAGUGGAAAAGGAUGUGGAGUUGCUUAGACAACCAGGAUGUUGGCUUAGAAGCGACCACCAUUUAAAGAGUGCGUAAUAGCUCACUGGUCGAGUGACUCUGCGCCGAAAAUGUACCGGGGCUAAACGUAUCACCGAAGGCGCGGACUGUUCUUCGAACAGUGGUAGGAGAGCGUUCUAAGGGCUGUGAAGCAAGACCGGAAGGACUUGUGGAGCGCUUAGAAGUGAGAAUGCCGGUAUGAGUAGCGAAAGAGGGGUGAGAAUCCCCUCCACCGAAUGCCUAAGGUUUCCUGAGGAAGGCUCGUCCGCUCAGGGUUAGUCGGGACCUAAGCCGAGGCCGAAAGGCGUAGGCGAUGGAUAACAGGUUGAUAUUCCUGUACCACCUCCUCACCAUUUGAGCAAUGGGGGGACGCAGGAGGAUAGGGUAAGCGCGGUAUUGGAUAUCCGCGUCCAAGCAGUUAGGCUGGGAAAUAGGCAAAUCCGUUUCCCGUGAAGGCUGAGCUGUGAUGGCGAGCGAAUUAUAGUAGCGAAGUUCCUGAUUCCACACUGCCAAGAAAAGCCUCUAGCGAGGUGAGAGGUGCCCGUACCGCAAACCGACACAGGUAGGCGAGGAGAGAAUCCUAAGGUGAUCGAGAGAACUCUCGUUAAGGAACUCGGCAAAAUGACCCCGUAACUUCGGGAGAAGGGGUGCUCUGUUAGGGUGCAAGCCCGAGAGAGCCGCAGUGAAUAGGCCCAGGCGACUGUUUAGCAAAAACACAGGUCUCUGCGAAGCCGUAAGGCGAAGUAUAGGGGCUGACGCCUGCCCGGUGCUGGAAGGUUAAGAGGAGCGCUUAGCGUAAGCGAAGGUGCGAAUUGAAGCCCCAGUAAACGGCGGCCGUAACUAUAACGGUCCUAAGGUAGCGAAAUUCCUUGUCGGGUAAGUUCCGACCCGCACGAAAGGCGCAACGAUCUGGGCACUGUCUCAACGAGAGACUCGGUGAAAUUAUAGUACCUGUGAAGAUGCAGGUUACCCGCGACAGGACGGAAAGACCCCGUGGAGCUUUACUGCGGCCUGAUAUUGAAUGUUGGUACAGCUUGUACAGGAUAGGUAGGAGCCUUGGAAACCGGAGCGCCAGCUUCGGUGGAGGCAUCGGUGGGAUACUACCCUGGCUGUAUUGACCUUCUAACCCGCCGCCCUUAUCGGGCGGGGAGACAGUGUCAGGUGGGCAGUUUGACUGGGGCGGUCGCCUCCUAAAAGGUAACGGAGGCGCCCAAAGGUUCCCUCAGAAUGGUUGGAAAUCAUUCGCAGAGUGUAAAGGCACAAGGGAGCUUGACUGCGAGACCUACAAGUCGAGCAGGGACGAAAGUCGGGCUUAGUGAUCCGGUGGUUCCGCAUGGAAGGGCCAUCGCUCAACGGAUAAAAGCUACCCCGGGGAUAACAGGCUUAUCUCCCCCAAGAGUCCACAUCGACGGGGAGGUUUGGCACCUCGAUGUCGGCUCAUCGCAUCCUGGGGCUGUAGUCGGUCCCAAGGGUUGGGCUGUUCGCCCAUUAAAGCGGUACGCGAGCUGGGUUCAGAACGUCGUGAGACAGUUCGGUCCCUAUCCGUCGCGGGCGCAGGAAAUUUGAGAGGAGCUGUCCUUAGUACGAGAGGACCGGGAUGGACGCACCGCUGGUGUACCAGUUGUUCUGCCAAGGGCAUCGCUGGGUAGCUAUGUGCGGACGGGAUAAGUGCUGAAAGCAUCUAAGCAUGAAGCCCCCCUCAAGAUGAGAUUUCCCAUUCCGCAAGGAAGUAAGAUCCCUGAAAGAUGAUCAGGUUGAUAGGUCUGAGGUGGAAGUGUGGCGACACAUGGAGCUGACAGAUACUAAUCGAUCGAGGACUUAACCAA